UACGAAGGGGGCUAGCGUUGUUCGGAAUCACUGGGCGUAAAGCGCACGUAGGCGGAUUGUUAAGUCGGGGGUGAAAUCCUGAGGCUCAACCUCAGAACUGCCUCCGAUACUGGCAAUCUCGAGUUCGGAAGAGGUUGGUGGAACAGCUAGUGUAGAGGUGAAAUUCGUAGAUAUUAGCUAGAACACCAGUGGCGAAGGCGGCCAACUGGUCCGACACUGACGCUGAGACGCGAAAGCGUGGGGAGCGAACAGG
RNAcentral lists this ribosomal RNA (253 nucleotides) under uncultured bacterium. Its description in RNAcentral is "partial 16S ribosomal RNA". It matches the Rfam family "Bacterial small subunit ribosomal RNA", at positions 524 to 776 of the family's 1533-position model. The record is from RNAcentral.